RNAcentral lists this ribosomal RNA (263 nucleotides) under uncultured Oscillospiraceae bacterium. RNAcentral's name for it is "partial 16S ribosomal RNA". It matches the Rfam family "Bacterial small subunit ribosomal RNA", at positions 77 to 339 of the family's 1533-position model. The record is from RNAcentral. Lineage: Bacteria; Bacillati; Bacillota; Clostridia; Eubacteriales; Oscillospiraceae.
AGCUUGCUUUCUCGAGCGAGUGGCGAACGGGUGAGUAACGCGUGAGGAACCUGCCUCAAAGAGGGGGACAACAGUUGGAAAUGACUGCUAAUACCGCAUAACACAUAGGUGUCGCAUGGCACUUAUGCCAAAGAUUUAUCGCUUCAAGAUGGCCUCGCGUCUGAUUAGCUAGUUGGCGGGGUAACGGCCCACCAAGGCGACGAUCAGUAGCCGGACUGAGAGGUUGAACGGCCACAUUGGGACUGAGAUACGGCCCAGACUCC